RNAcentral lists this long non-coding RNA (787 nucleotides) under Homo sapiens (human). RNAcentral's name for it is "HSALNT0016116". The record is from RNAcentral. Lineage: Eukaryota; Metazoa; Chordata; Mammalia; Primates; Hominidae.
CUGGGGAGAGGCAGGUGGGGGAGGAGAGGGGAGAAAGGGGCGCUAGGACCGAGAGAGGGCGCGCGGGGGCCGGGAGGUCGAGAUUACAAAGAAAAGUGGGACGUGGGCUUAGGGUCCCUGAGGAAGAAAAGGACAGGACUAGGGAGAGAAUUGCCUAAUCAGAAGCAAAGGGAAAGAGAGGCGAGGGGCGAGAGGAGAGGGGAGAGGGGAGGGAGAAGAGGAGGGGUACAGGAUAAAGAGGGGGUGGAGAGGGAAGGGAGAGAAUGGGAGGCCGGAGAGGGGAGGGAGUCAGGCAGGAAGCAGGCAGCGUUAGAGAGUCCUAGCAUGGGAAUGGGACUCUGAGACAGCUGCGGAGGUUCCCUGGCCUCCAUGGAGGCACCUCCCCUCUUCUCUGCUCCUCACAGACAGCUUCCAGGAGAUUUUAGGAAUUACUCUGUUCUUAAAUGGGAGAAGCGCUAAUGCCCAAAUGCUGAGAAGGAGUAAAGCGGAGAAAACAGAGAAAAACAGUCACAAAUAGAGAGAAGUAGGCAGGAAAGGCGGGAAAGGGAACUGUCGAUAAAAGAGAGGCAAGCAGGAUGAGAAUGAGAGAAGGAAAGGGGGCUGGGGAGAGGGCCAGGACUGUCACAUCCAGCAGGGGCUCUCCCUGAGUGCCCCACACUCACCCUACUACCUUCUGUGCACAUGGAGGAUGGAGGCAACCUGAAGGUGAAUCAUAGGUAGCAUGAGAAGCCCUUGGAAAUUCAGCUACUACCUUCUAAAGGAGGAGAACAUGAAGGAGAUGAGCUGG